RNAcentral lists this ribosomal RNA (2396 nucleotides) under Escherichia coli. RNAcentral describes it as "bacterial LSU rRNA". It matches the Rfam family "Bacterial large subunit ribosomal RNA", at positions 549 to 2925 of the family's 2925-position model. Lineage: Bacteria; Pseudomonadati; Pseudomonadota; Gammaproteobacteria; Enterobacterales; Enterobacteriaceae. The record is from RNAcentral.
CCUGAAACCGUGUACGUACAAGCAGUGGGAGCCUCUUUAUGGGGUGACUGCGUACCUUUUGUAUAAUGGGUCAGCGACUUAUAUUCUGUAGCAAGGUUAACCGAAUAGGGGAGCCGAAGGGAAACCGAGUCUUAACUGGGCGUUAAGUUGCAGGGUAUAGACCCGAAACCCGGUGAUCUAGCCAUGGGCAGGUUGAAGGUUGGGUAACACUAACUGGAGGACCGAACCGACUAAUGUUGAAAAAUUAGCGGAUGACUUGUGGCUGGGGGUGAAAGGCCAAUCAAACCGGGAGAUAGCUGGUUCUCCCCGAAAGCUAUUUAGGUAGCGCCUCGUGAAUUCAUCUCCGGGGGUAGAGCACUGUUUCGGCAAGGGGGUCAUCCCGACUUACCAACCCGAUGCAAACUGCGAAUACCGGAGAAUGUUAUCACGGGAGACACACGGCGGGUGCUAACGUCCGUCGUGAAGAGGGAAACAACCCAGACCGCCAGCUAAGGUCCCAAAGUCAUGGUUAAGUGGGAAACGAUGUGGGAAGGCCCAGACAGCCAGGAUGUUGGCUUAGAAGCAGCCAUCAUUUAAAGAAAGCGUAAUAGCUCACUGGUCGAGUCGGCCUGCGCGGAAGAUGUAACGGGGCUAAACCAUGCACCGAAGCUGCGGCAGCGACACUAUGUGUUGUUGGGUAGGGGAGCGUUCUGUAAGCCUGUGAAGGUGGCCUGUGAGGGUUGCUGGAGGUAUCAGAAGUGCGAAUGCUGACAUAAGUAACGAUAAAGCGGGUGAAAAGCCCGCUCGCCGGAAGACCAAGGGUUCCUGUCCAACGUUAAUCGGGGCAGGGUGAGUCGACCCCUAAGGCGAGGCCGAAAGGCGUAGUCGAUGGGAAACAGGUUAAUAUUCCUGUACUUGGUGUUACUGCGAAGGGGGGACGGAGAAGGCUAUGUUGGCCGGGCGACGGUUGUCCCGGUUUAAGCGUGUAGGCUGGUUUUCCAGGCAAAUCCGGAAAACCAAGGCUGAGGCGUGAUGACGAGGCACUACGGUGCUGAAGCGACAAAUGCCCUGCUUCCAGGAAAAGCCUCUAAGCAUCAGGUAACAUCAAAUCGUACCCCAAACCGACACAGGUGGUCAGGUAGAGAAUACCAAGGCGCUUGAGAGAACUCGGGUGAAGGAACUAGGCAAAAUGGUGCCGUAACUUCGGGAGAAGGCACGCUGAUAUGUAGGUGAAGCGACUUGCUCGUGGAGCUGAAAUCAGUCGAAGAUACCAGCUGGCUGCAACUGUUUAUUAAAAACACAGCACUGUGCAAACACGAAAGUGGACGUAUACGGUGUGACGCCUGCCCGGUGCCGGAAGGUUAAUUGAUGGGGUUAGCGGUAACGCGAAGCUCUUGAUCGAAGCCCCGGUAAACGGCGGCCGUAACUAUAACGGUCCUAAGGUAGCGAAAUUCCUUGUCGGGUAAGUUCCGACCUGCACGAAUGGCGUAAUGAUGGCCAGGCUGUCUCCACCCGAGACUCAGUGAAAUUGAACUCGCUGUGAAGAUGCAGUGUACCCGCGGCAAGACGGAAAGACCCCGUGAACCUUUACUAUAGCUUGACACUGAACAUUGAGCCUUGAUGUGUAGGAUAGGUGGGAGGCUUUGAAGUGUGGACGCCAGUCUGCAUGGAGCCGACCUUGAAAUACCACCCUUUAAUGUUUGAUGUUCUAACGUUGGCCCGUAAUCCGGGUUGCGGACAGUGUCUGGUGGGUAGUUUGACUGGGGCGGUCUCCUCCUAAAGAGUAACGGAGGAGCACGAAGGUUGGCUAAUCCUGGUCGGACAUCAGGAGGUUAGUGCAAUGGCAUAAGCCAGCUUGACUGCGAGCGUGACGGCGCGAGCAGGUGCGAAAGCAGGUCAUAGUGAUCCGGUGGUUCUGAAUGGAAGGGCCAUCGCUCAACGGAUAAAAGGUACUCCGGGGAUAACAGGCUGAUACCGCCCAAGAGUUCAUAUCGACGGCGGUGUUUGGCACCUCGAUGUCGGCUCAUCACAUCCUGGGGCUGAAGUAGGUCCCAAGGGUAUGGCUGUUCGCCAUUUAAAGUGGUACGCGAGCUGGGUUUAGAACGUCGUGAGACAGUUCGGUCCCUAUCUGCCGUGGGCGCUGGAGAACUGAGGGGGGCUGCUCCUAGUACGAGAGGACCGGAGUGGACGCAUCACUGGUGUUCGGGUUGUCAUGCCAAUGGCACUGCCCGGUAGCUAAAUGCGGAAGAGAUAAGUGCUGAAAGCAUCUAAGCACGAAACUUGCCCCGAGAUGAGUUCUCCCUGAGACUUAGAGUCUCCUGAAGGAACGUUGAAGACGACGACGUUGAUAGGCCGGGUGUGUAAGCGCAGCGAUGCGUUGAGCUAACCGGUACUAAUGAACCGUGAGGCUUAACCUU